AUUGAACGCUGGCGGCAGGCCUAACACAUGCAAGUCGUGCGAGCGGCGGACGGGUGAGUAAUUUAUGGGGAUCUGCCUGAUGUAGUGGGAUAACUACUGGAAACGGUAGCUAAUCCCGCCUACCAUCACAUGCACCCAUAUGGGAUUAGCUGGUAGGUGAGGUAACGGCUCACCUAGGCGACGAUCCCCAGCUGGUCUGCGAGGAUGAUAAGCCACACUGGUACUGAGACACGGCCCAGACUCGUACGGGAGGAAGCAGUGGGGAGAAUUGCAAAAGUGGCGCAAGCCUGAUAGAGCCAUGCCGCGUGUAUGAAGAAGGCAUUCGGGUUGGAAAGUACUUUCAGUCGGGAGGCGUUACCGACAGAAGAAGCACCGGCUAACUCCGUGCCAGCAGCCGCGGUAAUAC
Molecule: ribosomal RNA, 406 nt
Filed under: uncultured bacterium
Lineage: Bacteria
Description: partial 16S ribosomal RNA
Rfam family: Bacterial small subunit ribosomal RNA
Source: RNAcentral